RNAcentral lists this ribosomal RNA (504 nucleotides) under uncultured bacterium. RNAcentral describes it as "bacterial SSU rRNA". It matches the Rfam family "Bacterial small subunit ribosomal RNA", at positions 9 to 526 of the family's 1533-position model. The record is from RNAcentral.
GAGUUUGAUCCUGGCUCAGGACGAACGCUGGCGGCGCGCCUAACACAUGCAAGUCGAACGAGCGAGAGAGAGCUUGCUUUCUCGAGCGAGUGGCGAACGGGUGAGUAACGCGUGAGGAACCUGCCUCAAAGAGGGGGACAACAGUUGGAAACGACUGCUAAUACCGCAUAAGCCCACGGCUCGGCAUCGAGCAGAGGGAAAAGGAGCAAUCCGCUUUGAGAUGGCCUCGCGUCCGAUUAGCUAGUUGGUGAGGUAAUGGCCCACCAAGGCGACGAUCGGUAGCCGGACUGAGAGGUUGAACGGCCACAUUGGGACUGAGACACGGCCCAGACUCCUACGGGAGGCAGCAGUGGGGAAUAUUGCACAAUGGGGGAAACCCUGAUGCAGCGACGCCGCGUGGAGGAAGAAGGUCUUCGGAUUGUAAACUCCUGUUGUUGAGGAAGAUAAUGACGGUACUCAACAAGGAAGUGACGGCUAACUACGUGCCAGCCGCCGCGGUAAUUC